Molecule: RNA transcript, 1005 nt
Organism: Fopius arisanus
Lineage: Eukaryota; Metazoa; Arthropoda; Insecta; Hymenoptera; Braconidae
Exons: 3
Source: RefSeq, a predicted model, not a curated record
UUGUAUCACAAAGACAUGAGAGUUUUAUUCAGGAUUUUGUGUUGUAAUGAAAUAAUAAUUCAUGUGGAGUGUACAAAAAAUAGUUCAUCUUCCUCGCAGAGGAAGAUGAACAGAUGUUGAUUGAUAAAUGAAGUGGUGGUUAAGUCGACUAUUCACGUUUUACCACUUCACUCUGAAGACUCGUUUUAUUUCUGGAAUGCGAGGAAUUCUCAAUGCGAUUGCAAAGUCCACGAUGGCGAAGCGUUCAGGGAAUUUGAGAGCAGAACUUAGAACGCUAGAGAUAAUAUCCCUGAUGGUGAGAUUUCUCCAUCCAUCCGAGAUCGAUGAUAAAUUAUUCUUAAGAUAAUUGAUACUAGAUUUGAUACUGAUUUCGGAAUAAUACAUUCGAGAAAAACAAUGCCCGAGUGCAGUGACAAUUAAAAAUGUAAUCACUACAAAAUUGAGUUGAAAUUGAAAGACCGAAUUUAAUGAGCAGAAUGGUGCUGUUAUCUUUCCACUUGAUUGAGAAGCCAUUUAAGUACAUUCACUCUCGAGUGUAAUUCAAGUCGCUGACAAUUAUUCCCAUAAUGAUGGAAAACUAGUUUUUUUUUACUUCAAAUUGCUGUAACAAUCCACCGCAACUCAGCAAGGACAGGUGAUUGGAAAUGCAGCUUCAGACAAUUCCAUGGAAAUCUGCGGGAAUUCCGGUCGUUUGGUUGGCAGAAAAAAAUUAUUGGGUCGUGCAAAAAAUCGGUUGGGGCAAAGUCCAGUCUGCGGCGGAUUCCAUAACAGGAUGGGCAAUUUAUUUGGCGCGAAGAUUAUUCUGAUUGUAUGAUAGAGUCGACAUCUGCUGAGGAUUCUGCGAACCUUAUCAGCGCUCUGAUAAUGGAGGGACCGCCAUUUGUAUUUAUUCCUCAUAAAAUCGAAGCUCUGCCCUGAAAAAAAAAAUCCACUUCAAAAAUACCCCUUUUACCGCAUUUUUACUCAAUUAAAUAUUCAUUUCUCUGGAUAAUAUAAAAAAAUUGU